CUUAGUUACCAGCACGUUAUGGUGGGCACUCUAAGGAGACUGCCGGUGACAAACCGGAGGAAGGUGGGGAUGACGUCAAGUCAUCAUGGCCCUUACGGCCUGGGCUACACACGUGCUACAAUGGUCGGUACAAAGGGUUGCCAAGCCGCGAGGUGGAGCUAAUCCCAUAAAACCGAUCGUAGUCCGGAUCGCAGUCUGCAACUCGACUGCGUGAGGUCGGAAUCGCUAGUAAUCGUGAAUCAGAAUGUCACGGUGAAUACGUUCCCGGGCCUU
This 273-nucleotide ribosomal RNA is filed under the name uncultured Pseudomonas sp. RNAcentral describes it as "partial 16S ribosomal RNA". It matches the Rfam family "Bacterial small subunit ribosomal RNA", at positions 1110 to 1382 of the family's 1533-position model. Lineage: Bacteria; Pseudomonadati; Pseudomonadota; Gammaproteobacteria; Pseudomonadales; Pseudomonadaceae. The record is from RNAcentral.